AAUCGGUUAGUUUUCGCGGGCUGCUGCAGGCGCUCUUAGACUCUGCGAUGUUGAACGAAGUCAGGUACCUGAAGUAGCGCGCGAAAACAUAACUA
This is a non-coding RNA of Cinara cedri, 95 nucleotides long. The record is from the annotation of a GenBank genome assembly. NCBI's taxonomy places the organism in Eukaryota, Metazoa, Arthropoda, Insecta, Hemiptera, Aphididae.